UAGCCUAGUGGUUAAGGCUAUGGAUCGCCAAUCCGGAGACAACGGGUUCGAUUCCCGU
Non-coding RNA from Aedes albopictus (Asian tiger mosquito), 58 nucleotides. Lineage: Eukaryota; Metazoa; Arthropoda; Insecta; Diptera; Culicidae. The record is from Rfam.